RNAcentral lists this ribosomal RNA (256 nucleotides) under uncultured bacterium. Its description in RNAcentral is "partial 16S ribosomal RNA". It matches the Rfam family "Bacterial small subunit ribosomal RNA", at positions 524 to 777 of the family's 1533-position model. The record is from RNAcentral.
UACGUAGGGUCCAAGCGUUAAUCGGAAUUACUGGGCGUAAAGGGCGCGUAGGCGGUCGUGACAAGUCACUUGUGAAAUCUCCGGGCUUAACUCGGAACGGUCAGAUGAUACUGCUUUGCUCGAGUGCGGAAGGGGCAAUCGGAAUUCUUGGUGUAGCGGUGAAAUGCGUAGAUAUCAAGAGGAACACCUGAGGUGAAGACGGGUUGCUGGGCCGACACUGACGCUGAUAGCGCGAAAGCCAGGGGAGCAAACGGGG